RNAcentral lists this ribosomal RNA (271 nucleotides) under uncultured bacterium. Its description in RNAcentral is "partial 16S ribosomal RNA". It matches the Rfam family "Bacterial small subunit ribosomal RNA", at positions 793 to 1055 of the family's 1533-position model. The record is from RNAcentral.
GUCCACGCCGUAAACGAUGUGUGCUGGAUGUCGGGGGUAUUCACUCCCUCGGUAUCGAAGCUAACGCGAUAAGCACACCGCCUGGGGAGUACGGCCGCAAGGUUGAAACUCAAAGGAAUUGACGGGGGCCCGCACAAGCGGUGGAGUAUGUGGUUUAAUUCGACGCAACGCGAAGAACCUUACCCCAGCCUUGACAUCUCAGGAACCUGGUAGAAAUACCGGGGUGCCUCCGCAAGGAGGAGCCUGAAGACAGGUGCUGCAUGGCUGUCGU